AAUACGAAUCUGCGAAAACACAAAUAUUUGUAAAAUAUCUGGAUAGGGUUUAUUGUUGGGCAGAAUGGCAAAGGAAUUAGAUUUUAAAAACAAAUAGUAAUAGCAUUUUAGAUUUGUAUAGUGCUGUACAGUUACUGGUAAUUUUCACAGAUAUCAUCUAUCUAAUUCACAUGCUUUUUAUCCCCAAAUAGAGAACCCUUACUAAAGAGUUUAGAUUUGACUAUAUGCUAAAAAUGUUUAUGUAAACAGAUGAACAUGGAAUCUCCUUACCUAGAGAAGCAAGAUCAGAAUACUGUGAACUUAAGAGGAACAGAUCCACUGCAGUCUGCUGCCCUGAGCAAUCUAAAGCCAGUUUCUUAUAAAAAUCCGUCGCAGGGCCAAGAUGCUGUACAACCUAAGUCAACAGGCCAUAAAGAAGGAGCUGGAAGCCUUGCGCUAUGCACACAUUUCUACAUCUCUUACAGUAACGAAGAUGAUACUUUGUCCUCCUAUCAAACUAAAAGUAUUCAGAAGAAAACCCCGUAUUUCCUAUCAUUUCACUGACAAAUACUUCAGUUGGUAUUUCUAACAGCAGGAAUUGGGGCUAAGAAGCAGAAAAAAGAACAAAGCAAUAAAAAGGGUAUCACCCACUCUUUUAUUUGACCCUGCCAUUAUUUAAAAAGUCCAUGGAAAGGGUAGAUAUUUCCAUAAUCCCUUAGAAGUCUGUAUUAUUUGCAGAAGCAAACUGUACAAGUAUGAAAGACAAUGUACAGAAUAGUGUCC
Acinonyx jubatus (cheetah) is the source of this 762-nucleotide long non-coding RNA. RefSeq lists it as uncharacterized. NCBI's taxonomy places the organism in Eukaryota, Metazoa, Chordata, Mammalia, Carnivora, Felidae. The record is from RefSeq and is a predicted model, not a curated record. The transcript has 3 exons.